UUUCCGUAGGUGAACCUGCGGAAGGAUCAUUAUCGAAUUAUAAGCGAGGGUUGUAGCUGGCCUCCCUUUCGAGGCAUGUGCACGCCUGAGCUCUUAAAUCCACAACACACCUGUGAACCCACCGUAGGCCUUCGGGCUUAUGUAUCAUAUACUCUGAAUGUGUCAUAGAAUGUUCAUGUUGCCUUAAAACGCAAUCAAAUACAACUUUCAACAACGGAUCUCUUGGCUCUC
RNAcentral lists this unclassified non-coding RNA (231 nucleotides) under plant metagenome. RNAcentral's name for it is "partial contains small subunit ribosomal RNA, internal transcribed spacer 1, and 5.8S ribosomal RNA". The record is from RNAcentral.